UGAGGAAUAUUGGUCAAUGGACGAGAGUCUGAACCAGCCAAGUAGCGUGAAGGAUGACUGCCCUAUGGGUUGUAAACUUCUUUUAUACGGGAAUAAAGUUAGCCACGUGUGGCUUUUUGUAUGUACCGUAUGAAUAAGGAUCGGCUAACUCCGUGCCAGCAGCCGCGGUAAGACAGAGGCCACAAGCGUUAGGCGGAAUCACUGGGCUUAAAGCGUGUGUAGGCGGACCGUUAAGUGCUUUGUGAAAUCCCCCGGCUCAACCGGGGAAUGGCUGGGCAUACUGGCGGUCUUGAGCUGCCUAGGGGUCACUGGAACAAACGGUGGAGCGGUGAAAUGCGUAGAUAUCGUUUGGAACGCCCAAGGUGAAAACAGGUGACUGGGGGCAAGCUGACGCUGAGACACGAAAGCCAGGGGAGCAAACG
RNAcentral lists this ribosomal RNA (422 nucleotides) under uncultured prokaryote. RNAcentral describes it as "bacterial SSU rRNA". It matches the Rfam family "Bacterial small subunit ribosomal RNA", at positions 355 to 774 of the family's 1533-position model. The record is from RNAcentral.